Molecule: transfer RNA, 69 nt
Filed under: Marmota monax (woodchuck)
Lineage: Eukaryota; Metazoa; Chordata; Mammalia; Rodentia; Sciuridae
Rfam family: tRNA
About the family: Transfer RNA (tRNA) molecules are approximately 80 nucleotides in length.
Source: Rfam by way of RNAcentral
GGAGUUGUGGCUCAGUGGUAUAGUACUUGCCUGGCAUGUAUGAGACCCUGGGUUUGAUCCUCAGCACCA